This 254-nucleotide ribosomal RNA is filed under the name uncultured bacterium. RNAcentral's name for it is "partial 16S ribosomal RNA". It matches the Rfam family "Bacterial small subunit ribosomal RNA", at positions 524 to 776 of the family's 1533-position model. The record is from RNAcentral.
UACGAAGGGAGCUAGCGUUGUUCGGAAUCACUGGGCGUAAAGCGCACGUAGGCGGCAUAUUAAGUCAUCUGUGAAAUCUCCGAGCUUAACUCGGAACUGUCAGCUGAUACUGAUGUGCUAGAGUGCGGAAGGGGCAAUCGGAAUUCUUGGUGUAGCGGUGAAAUGCGUAGAUAUCAAGAGGAACACCUGAGGUGAAGACGGGUUGCUGGGCCGACACUGACGCUGAGUGCGCGAAAGCCAGGGGAGCAAACGGG